UGCUUAAUUCGAGGCAACGCGAAGAACCUUACCUAGGUUGAACUAUGCAGGAAAAGCCACAGAGAUGUGGUGUCCUUCGGGGCCUGCGAUAGGUGGUGCAUGGCUGUCGUCAGCUCGUGUCGUGAGAUGUUGGGUUAAGUCCCGCAACGAGCGCAACCCUUAUCCUAUGUUGCCAGCACGUAAUGGUGGGGACUCGUAGGAGACUGCCGGGGUCAACUCGGA
Molecule: ribosomal RNA, 222 nt
Filed under: uncultured bacterium
Lineage: Bacteria
Description: partial 16S ribosomal RNA
Rfam family: Bacterial small subunit ribosomal RNA
Source: RNAcentral